This 301-nucleotide ribosomal RNA is filed under the name uncultured bacterium. RNAcentral's name for it is "partial 16S ribosomal RNA". It matches the Rfam family "Bacterial small subunit ribosomal RNA", at positions 509 to 809 of the family's 1533-position model. The record is from RNAcentral.
CAGUAGCCACGGUAAUACGUAGGGUGCAAGCGUUAAUCGGAAUUACUGGGCGUAAAGCGUGCGCAGGCGGUUAUAUAAGACAGAUGUGAAAUCCCCGGGCUCAACCUGGGAACUGCAUUUGUGACUGUAUAGCUAGAGUACGGCAGAGGGGGAUGGAAUUCCGCGUGUAGCAGUGAAAUGCGUAGAUAUGCGGAGGAACACCGAUGGCGAAGGCAAUCCCCUGGGCCUGUACUGACGCUCAUGCACGAAAGCGUGGGGAGCAAACAGGAUUAGAGACCCGCGUAGUCCCUGUCUCUUAUAU